UCCAGAGCCAUUUAUAUCUUGUUUUACAACA
This 31-nucleotide non-coding RNA is filed under the name Mus musculus (house mouse). The record is from RNAcentral. Lineage: Eukaryota; Metazoa; Chordata; Mammalia; Rodentia; Muridae.